Molecule: ribosomal RNA, 393 nt
Filed under: uncultured bacterium
Lineage: Bacteria
Description: partial 16S ribosomal RNA
Rfam family: Bacterial small subunit ribosomal RNA
Source: RNAcentral
AUACGGAGGAUGCGAGCGUUAUCCGGAUUUAUUGGGUUUAAAGGGAGCGUAGGUGGGAUAUUAAGUCAGCUGUGAAAGUUUGGGGCUCAACCUUAAAAUUGCAGUUGAUACUGGUUUCCUUGAGUACGGUACAGGUGGGCGGAAUUCGUGGUGUAGCGGUGAAAUGCUUAGAUAUCACGAAGAACUCCGAUCGCGAAGGCAGCUCACCGGGCCGGAACUGGCACUGAUGCUCGAAAGUGCGGGUAUCAAACAGGAUUAGAUACCCUGGUAGUCCGCACAGUAAACGAUGAAUACUCGCUGUUUGCGAUACACUGUAAGCGGCCAAGCGAAAGCGUUAAGUAUUCCACCUGGGGAGUACGCCGGCAACGGUGAAACUCAAAGGAAUUGACGGGG